GUUUAUGCCCAUGCCACCCAGAACAUACUCGAUCUCAUCUGAUCUCAGAAGUAAAGCAGGGUCUGGCUUGGUUAGUACUUGAAUGAAAGGAAAAAAAAUGGAUUAAAAU
Molecule: ribosomal RNA, 109 nt
Filed under: Pteropus alecto (black flying fox)
Lineage: Eukaryota; Metazoa; Chordata; Mammalia; Chiroptera; Pteropodidae
Source: RNAcentral